This 17312-nucleotide long non-coding RNA is filed under the name Sorghum bicolor (sorghum). Its description in RNAcentral is "long non-coding RNA (SBIC_LNC007242)". Lineage: Eukaryota; Viridiplantae; Streptophyta; Magnoliopsida; Poales; Poaceae. The record is from RNAcentral.
UGCAACAACCAAAACUAUCCAACUGGAUGAUACAACAACAAAACCAGUUACAUAGUUGGGGACUAAUUCCCCUCGAUGCCCACUGCCUCCACUGGUCCUUUGCCUAUCCAGUAUUUGUAGGCAGCAUAAACAGAGGAUACAACCAGGAUGCCGAGGAUCAUGUAGGUAACGAUAGUAGCCACGCUGAUCUGGCUAGGAGCCUUCUUCACUUUGCUUUGUGCCAGCAAGGCCUUUGGCUUAAUCUUUGCCAUCCUACGCUCCUGCUAAUCCCAAGAAACAAAAAAAAAGGGCAGAAUAGUGUGAGCAAAGUGUGCAUAGGAUCAAAAGAAAAAAAGGCUAGGAAGGAUUUUUCUUGGACCUUCGUCAAUCAAAAACAUACUCCUAUCAACAGUAAGUAGGUAAUAGCUACAGGCAUCAUGUUGUCAAAAAAACAUGUUAUUAAGGUGAUUGUUUCUUCAAAGCUAAGAAUACCUGAUUCAUGGUGUAAAAUACAUAAGCAGAGUAUGGUAGUCUGCAAAUAUUAAACAAGUAUAUAACAGAGGCAGCCCCAAGCCAAUGCUAAUACCGGAACACAAAAUAUUAUUAGACUGGCAAAAUAAUGAGGAUCAGAACUUCAGGAUGCAAGCAUGGUAUGUGGCAUGAAGUGGAAAUGCUGGAAACUAUUGCAUCAGGACCAAAUCUCCAGAUGCUGGAAACUAUUCACAAAGUACAAUCUUGUCUGAAGCAAAUAGCAAUUCUGUGAUUCAAAAGAGCAGAUUAAUGAAUGCGAUCAAGCAGAAAAGCUUAAUAUCAUUAUAUUUGUUCAUGGACUACAAAGUUCAGCAAUUCAUGUUCAUAUGCAAACUAUAGGAUGUAUCAUUUACAGUUGAAACUUGAAAGACUUGGUGGACAGGGAAAUACAAGAUAUUCUCAUGGAGUUUCAGAAUUUUAGAUUAUGAAACCAGAAGCAAUGAACCAGUGGCAAACCCACAGCCUGACCCUGAGCAGCCACCCGAUCUCGGCGGCGAAGCACAAAGAGAAAAUUUAUUUGACACAAUGGAGAACAUUGUAUUUUUCUUAAAUAUGUUUUUGCAAAAUGAGAAUAGCCUGGGCUUCUAAAAGUUUCUGGAUCUGCCACUGCAAUGAGCCUACUUGGAAACUCCAUGGCACAACAUAAGUUCAGGUAAGAGUUACUUGUCUUAUCCAUGGAAUAAGGACAAGACUAAUAAAGAAUGACACAAAUAAAAAGGUUCAUGAGUUCAUUUCUCCAACUUCGCAUCCUGACUUAGCUUUGGCACUCCACUAUCAAUUUACUGGCUUUAUACGCAGCAGCAGCAGCCAGCAGGGUAGUCAAACAAGUCAUUACUUUGCUUCCAUCUCCCUCUGAGAAUCUCUUACUGUUUCUUAAAAUAUGGGCAAGGUGUGUUCAUGUUUUGUUGCAUUUAUAUGAUUAUCACUGAAAUAGAAAUUAACCAUAUGAAUAUGAUUUAGGCAUGUUUGAAAUAUUGACAUGAGAAAAAAAUAUAGUAUCAUGGGAGUAUAUGAUUACUGAACCAAAACAAUGAACAUACAUGGAAAACUCCAUGGCAGAACAAAAGUUCCAGGUCAAUGUUGUAUGACAUGGCAUAAGGGGCACUUCAAUAGGGAUAGACAAAUAGAAAAAGGUUCAUGAAUCCAUUUCUACAGCUUUGCAGCCUGACUUGACUUCUGCACACGCCUUUAUCAAUUUACUGGCUUGACAGGAAGCAGCAACUGGCUAAUAAAACAAGUUACUCCUCUCUUUCACCCUCCAAGAAUCUCUCUUAGACUCUUACUACUUAUAAAAGUUAAAAAUAUGACCAGGACAUGUUCAUAAUUUGCUUUAUUGUUGGUUGGUAAUCUGAAAUCUGAACUAAUAUUGAAGUAAAGUAGGAAAAUAUACAGGAAAUCAAAAUGAUUAAGAAAAGAUAAUUCAAUAAGCAAACAGAAAGUUGAAUAAAUUUGAGCACUAGUAUUUACAAUAGUAUUGUAUUUUCUUUUGCUGUGUAUAUGAAAAUGCUAGGUACACCGUACACCAAGCACAAGAAAAAACUAGUUUUUGUUUACAUCAUUAAUAAUGUCCUAAACUAGCGUAAAUAUUCACUUGCCACCUCAGAGUAGGCCUUUGUCAUGGGCAUAAAGAGGGGCGCCGUAGGGCGCAAGUGUCCUAGUUGGGCCUUAAGCCCAUUAGUGUUAAUUAGUGUCUCUCUUAGUUAUUUGUCUAUAGGAAUAGUACCAUAUUGUCUAGGCACAAGAGGUGUUAGUCCUAUGUACCUUUUAUAUUCAGCCCAUGGGGCACAAUGGAAAGGAAGCAAUGAAUUAUGAAGAAACAAUUCUAGUCUCCCUCAUUCUCUUAAGCUCUUGGCAAAGCAUAAGGCCUAGUUAUCUCCCAAACAUCCAUCUAUCAUAACAUCUGGUAUCACGAGUCUGUCGAUCCAUCCACAGCUGCUGCCAAUCCUCCACAUCAAAAAAAAAUCAAUCCAGAUCGCCGGCCGAUCCAUCUUCCACGGCCAUCCACCACCACAGCCCCCAGCCGCCGCGCCUCCAUCUCCAUCAUCCGCCGCCAACAGCAACUAUCUCGUCGAUCCCCUUUGUUUCCAAAAAAAAGAGAUCAGCCGAUCCUAGCAGCCAGCAGCAGCGUCACCUCAACCCUAAACACGCCGCCGCAGCUGCCCCACUACGCGCCGCCACCACCACAGCCCAAUCCCCAACACCAUCUCGCGCAGCCACAACCCCACUUCCAGCCGCUGAGCCAACUCUCCGAUCCCGAUCCAUCUUCCACGGCCAUCCACCACCACAGCCCCCAGCCGCCGCGCCUCCAUCUUCACCCCUCGCCGCCGAUCCAGCAGCUCGACCUCGACCCGUCGACGCCCGUACAUGAUGGAGUUCCCGCAGUUUGAUGGAACCUCUGAUCCGGAGGCCUUCAUCAACCAGUGUGAGCUCUACUUCCGCCGGGAGUGCAUCAUGGUGGAAGAACGGGUAUGGCUAGCUUCUCGCAAUUUGAAAGCUGAUGUCCGCGAGUGGUUCCGCCAAGUCACACAAGAUGAAUACCCGGCAUGGCGUCGCUUCACAGAGCUCCUGCAGCGGCGCUUCAAACCAACUCUGCGCCCCAAUCCGCUCCACCGGCUAUCCCUUGGUGUCGACAACUGCCUGCGCAGCCUUGCGGAGAUGACCGCACAGCUGGAUUGCCUCCGGGUGCGUCUCGAGAAGGAGGACCGUGAACGCCGGGCAGCUGUACGCCUCCAGGCAGCAGCACGGGGACUCCUGGCACGUCGCCGAGCGCAGGCUCUUCGUGCCACAAAAGCAUCGAAGGAGCAAGCAACGGUGCGCCUCCAGGCAGCAGUGCGCGGAAUGCUUGUCCGUCGCAUGGUGCGGCAGAUACGCAUGCUCCUCAGCUCGACGUUGUCGUACGUGUUCAUCCACUCGGACUCGCCGAUACGGCCUGCGGCUCCAAUUGCAGUGGAGGUCUAAGUAUGGGCGUUUCCAGUGCAGCGACCUCGCAUCAGCAUCCAGCAUCAGGCAUCAAAGGCUAUCUCAUUCAUCCUUGUGCCUGCCGUGGUGCUAGACACUUUCAGCAUAAGAGCCAGCUGCUUCACACUCCACUCUUCAGCCUACAUGAAGCCAGCAGAGGCGCUCUUCCCAUGGGAUCCAGGUGGAUAUCCUUGUAUUUUAGUCUUCAAUAAAAAGGGGAAGCCGAGAUGUAAAAGGCUUAACCCUAUUUCGCGUCAGCUCUCCAGCUCGAGGACGAGCUGGGUCUCCAAGGGCGGGGGAGAUGUCAUGGGCAUAAAGAGGGGCGCCGUAGGGCGCAAGUGUCCUUGUUAUCAUAGAUGGAUGUUUGGGAGAUAACUAGGCCUUAUGCUUUGCCAAGAGCUUAAGAGAAUGAGGGAGACUAGAAUUGUUUCUUCAUAAUUCAUUGCUUCCUUUCCAUUGUGCCCCAUGGGCUGAAUAUAAAAGGUACAUAGGACUAACACCUCUUGUGCCUAGACAAUAUGAUACUAUUCCUAUAGACAAAUAACUAAGAGAGACACUAAUUAACACUAAUGGGCUUAAGGCCCAACUAGGACACUUGCGCCCUACGGCGCCCCUCUUUAUGCCCAUGACAGCCUUGCCAUCCUUUCUCCUCAAUUGAUGAAGAACUUUUUUUAUCAUUGGUGGUGCAGAGCUAGCUAGACUCUGAGUGGCCCCACCCAACAAGGAUUAAAUUCCCUAAUCAUUUUAGGUGUAUGGACUCUCUGGAAACACAGGAAUGACUAGUUUUUAAUGAAGUUACACCAAGGCUCCAGAGCCCUAUACCUUGCUGAUGAGGAGUACCAGCUCUGGAGUACGGUAGGCGCUAUGGGGCUGUUUUAUCACAGCCCUAGCCUGGAUAACUAGGUUGUAGGUCUGCUCGCCCCUUUUUCCAUUUUUAAAGGUGUGUAUGUAAUCCCUUUAUUUCUCUCUUAAUGAAAUAUGGUCGCGAAAAAAAACAUGUAAUCCUUUUAUCUGAGGGGGUGUGUGUGUGUUGGAACUCUGUUCUUCUAGUAAUACAAUGAUACACAGCCUCUCCUAGGUGUUCAAGAAAAAAAGAACCUUACAAGCUGAUAUUGAUCAUACAAAAAUUGGAGGGGACACUUCGAUUCGACAUAUAGAUCACCUGCUAACUUACUACAGAAGGUCUGUACCAUAAUUAAGAAAAUCAUAGUGCCUAGUGCCAUUUAGUGAAGGACAACAAAUGGGCUAAGAUUACCUUGUUGUAGACUCAUAUAAAUGACCCAUCAAGCAUGGAUCUGUAGACUCAUAAGGCAUGGGAUCCAACGAACACCCACGGUUUCUUUUUUAGUUUUUUUGGAAAAAGUUUCAUAUCCAGCAGGGACGGACCCAGUAAGGCUGUGUUCGAUUACCUGGAUUGGAACCAGGAACUAUUCCAGCUUUUCAAAACUAUACAAAUUAGUGAACAAUUUCCAACUGGAAUCAUUCCAGUGACUCAAUCCAGAGCAACCGAACAAGCCUUAAAGGGCAUGGGGGUACACAAUAAUUUUGCAAAGAAACUGAAGCUAGUAGGCAUAACACAUGAAUACACUUGGAAUUAGAUCAGAUCCAAAUAGGUUUCGGGAACCCUGUUUCGCACAGCAGGAAGGGAACGAGGGAAGAGGAGCGCGCAUACUUAGUGGUUGCUCGUCGCCGGCGAAGGGCUGUUGAAGGGACCGACGAAAGCGUGGGCACCUGGCCUAGGGCGGCGGCGACGGUCGCCAAGUUGUCCCCACGAGAGAGGGCGCGCUGGCGGGGGUUGAACCGGAGAAGGGAAAGCAGGGGGCAAUACUGGAGAAAAAGUUGGGAUUUUUCAAACUGAAUUUUCGUGUCCAGAUCUCUGUUUUCAAGCUGGCCUGAGUUUGACGGCUUUUUAGUUACUCUCCUCAGUUCCCUCCAUUCCAGUGAGUUGUUGCGAAGGGGCCUGAGUUGUUUUGUUUUUUUUUCUAGAUUUAUUUAUAGGUUUUUAUAUUAUGUAUAUAUCUAGAUAUAGUCCAUGCUUGGUUAAUCAUCUCCGCAAAGGAAUUUAAGAGAACAAGGUGAAUUUUGACGUGUAAGUGAUUUAAUUCCACUUGGUGUUUGUUCGGUUUUGCGAGGAUUGCAGGAUUUAAGGGGAUUGAUGGUUGAUCCUUUACAAGACAAAAUCCUCCAAAUCACCUCCAAUAUCCUUGAAGAGGAGAUUAACCAUACAAGUUUGUUUAUUUGGCUGAUAAGCCACGACAAAAAAUAUUGUUGGCUGAUUUGUUGUGAGAGAAAAAUACUGUUAAAUGAUUGACAAAUUCAGCUGAUAAGCUCAAGCGGCCAAGUUCCCUUAAACACUUCCAUUACUUCUCCAAUCUUCACUAGUGUCAAAUCAACCAAUUUUGAGUUCUCCAAUCCAAAUUUUGAGUACAGCGCAUGGGAGAAUUUUGUGGCCACGCGCGUGCAGCUGGCAGCGUGAUUGAUUCCUCCACCUGAUCUUGUCUCUUGACCAGCGACGACGAGGAGGGAAGUGGCAUGCAUGUUUUUUUUUCCUUCUUUCUCGUCGUCCUGCACGACAAUCGGCAGUAGCAAAAACCAAAAGGUGUUGUCUCAAGAUGAUAGAGUAGCCUAUAAAGUUGGGCUUAAUCUUCCAGCCAACAAGCCAAGUACAGUGUACCGAACCAAGUGUUUUACAUUUGUUUUCUCAAAAUAUACGUAGUCCCACGCAUGAUUUAGUUAACGACGAGGAUUGGCUCUCCCAUCUUAAAAAAAAUUGCAAAAAGAUUCAAUAUUUGGAAAAGGGAAAGUGGUACAGGUCAACUUUGAUCAAUGCCAACCUGAGUAAGGGCCCGUUUGCCAGGGCUUCUCCAGCGACUUCAGGAGCUGUUUGGAGUUGUUUUUUGCCAAAUAGGAUAAAAUAAAAUGGCUCCAUCAAUAAAACCCCUAAAAAUAUGCUCUCACAGAGUUUUGGGGUGCGAUGGAGCCAAAAAUAGUGGCUUCUCCCAGCUCCACCUUAUCCUAAGUGGUGUUCUGUGAGAGCACAUUUUAAGAAAAGAGUUGUUUUGUCAAACGAUUUACCAAAACGGCUCCAGCUCUACUGAUAGAGCUGUUUAUGGAAUUGAUGCCCCGAGAAACAACUUCACUAGUGAAGUAGAGCCAUGCCAAACGAGGCCCGUCUACAACAUUCCUUCUAUCUUUUACACAAGUUGUGAUUAAUAAUUUGGAUAAAAUCAAAAGUGUCUUUAUGGGGUGGCACUAAAUGGAGUAAGUGGCCAUCUUGUGAAAUGGACCAACAUUUGCUAGAGUAAAAAGGCUGGGUAUCAAGGAUCUAUGAAAGUUAAACGUAAGUCUAUUAUGUAAGUGGUUAGUUGUGCUGGUACCAAACUUCUAUAUUUUCCUUACACGGCUGUCAGUAGAAAUGGAAUCGCUUCUCUUAAAAAAAAAGGUAAACAUAAGAAGGAGAGAAAUUAAGAACAAGGUUUCUAAAUAGCCAUACAUAUAGUACGUCUUAGAACUUACUUAGAUCUAUUAACACUAUAAAAUUAGUAGCUACAAAUCAUACUAUUGGAUCCAAAUAUAUCUGCUAAUAAACCUGCUAAUUAUUAGUAAGGGACUACUAACUAUUAGCUCUAUUAGCAGGUUUAGAAUUGCUAAUAGCCGUAAUAGCUGCUGAUAGUGUAGGGAUACCUUUAACUUGCUAUCCAUCCAUUUAUUAGCACGUGAAUUUAAAUGGAUCCUACUAAAAGUAUAGCUAGCUAAAAAAUUAAUAGCAGCUCCAACAAUUAGCUUUUAAGUUAGCUCUAAGAUUUUUCUCGUACUAUUUUAAUAAAAGAGAUUAAGAGCUAGCUCUUGCACAUAUUUCAAGGUGAUGUGAGAAUGUCAUGUAGGGUUAUCCAUGUUAAAAGCUAUGUGCUAAAAGUUAGCACCAUUGUGGGUGUCCUUAGCUAUCCAAUUUUUAGUGCUAAUAGGUUCGAACAGGACCUUAAUUAAGUUGGGAAAGCUAGUGGAAGGAAAAAAACAGAAGAGGAUACCAUGCCAAUUCGCCAAAGCUAAACUAACAUCAUUAUCAUGAUUAGGGAGGAACCUUAUCUGGACACAUAUAUACAAAAGAUCAAAGAGGGCAUCAUUCGGUGGAUUUCGAGAACGUUACUAAAAGAUGAUGUCAGGCACUCAAGCGCCGUGUCGUGGUGUACUUCGAUUUGCCAAAACAUUCGUGUGUUGGAGUGUGCUUAAACACCCAAUGCAAUGCAAAUGCUAAUUUAGGUUUUGUCUAACUCAACUAGAGCUUAUUAAAAAAAUUAACUCUCAACCAUAUCAAGUGUAGUUCAUUAGGGGUGAAUCUAGAGUAAUUUUCUUGGUCCAUUUAUCCUGACCAAAUUUGUAAAUCCCUUAUAUUGAUACACUUCUACAACUCCAAAGUUUAAUUAACCUAUGCCUGCGUGCAUAUACUAGGGAGUUGUUCGCUCCUUGUAAUUUCAGUUUUGGAUUAUUUUGUGGAGUUUAUUCUCUGUUGAGCCGCCGCUUGAGAAACCUUAGAUGGUGAUCCCAUCAGAUUUUUCAUCUUGAAGAUUAUUUUCAGGAUUCUUAUGGAUCUGCGUGGAAUGCGUGAUUAAACUGCUAUGGAUUAAGUGUCACUGCUACUCGAAUUGCAUCUAAUCCAGUUUUUAUAAGCCGAGAACUCCUUAUUUUGUACUGCUACCUAGUUUUGGGAGUGGAAAGAGUUGAGUUUGAGGCCAAGUAUUUGGGAUUGCCAACUCCAAAUGGCCGGGUUCGAAGAGGGCUAUUCCAACCUCUCGAGGAGCGUUUCCACAAAAGAAUGGUUGCAUGGAAGGAAAAAUAUUUAUCUGCAGCAGGAAAGGAGGUGUUGAUCAAAUCGGUGGCUCAGGCUUUGCCAGUUUAUAUUAUGAGUGUUUUUAAACUUCCUCUAACCCUGUGUGGUGAACUCAUGAAGCAGAUUCGUGCUUUCUAGUGGCGAGGUGAAAAGGGUCGAAGGAAGGUGCAAUGGAUCCCAUGGGAAAAAUAGGUGCUGACGAAGGAUUUGGGUGGUAUGGGUUUUAAGGAUCUUCGCCUGAUGAACCAGGCGCUGCUUGCUCGACAGGCCUGGAGACUUGUGGCUUUUCAUGAUAGUCUCUGUGCAAGGGUGUUGAAAGCUAAAUACUACCCCAACAGUAAACUAUUAGACCGGGCUCCGACUGGUGAUGCGUCACAGACAUGGAGAGCUAUUGAAUAUGGUUUGGAGCUGCUAAAAUAGGGCGUCAUUCACUGGAUUGGUAAUGGAUUGAAACUGAUUGGUCCUAUGUGCUCUUGUCGGCCACUGGGUGCAUCACCUCAUCGAUGACAGUGGAAACAGCUAUUCAGAGGUAUUUUUUCCCUUGUGAUGUUGUUGAAAUUUUUAAGAUCAAGUUGCGUGUUCAAGAGACUCCAGAUUUUGUGGCCUAGCAUUAUGAGAAGACGGGUUAUUUCUCUGUUCGUAGUGCUAACAGGCUAGCUGUCCGGAAUUUCUAUGGGGUUGGUAAUAUUGGGAGUAGUUCCAGUGCUGGAUGGAAGAAAUUGUGGCAGGUAGAUGUGCCAUCCAAAGUCAGCAUUUUUGCUAUGAAGGUUGUUAACAAUGGUUUGCCUACUCGUGUUAAUAAGAAAUACCGCCACCUUAAGCAGCAAGAUGUAUGUCAGAUAUGUGGGCAAUAUGCUGAAGAUGUUUACCAUGCCUUGGUGGCUUGUCCACAUGCUUUGACCCUACGACAGGCUAUGAGGGAGCACUGGGUGUUACCGUCAAAGCAGGUUUAGCCAAGGCUGAUCCAGAAUGGUUGAUGAUGCUGAUUCACAAUAAUACUCGAGAGGUAUUGGCAAAUGUUUUCAUGCUCUUUUGGCAUACUUGGAGUAUGCGAAAUAAGGUGAUCCAUGAGGAUAUCUUUCCUUUUAUUGCCAGCUCAGUCACCUUUCUAACCAGGUAUAUGACAUCUCUGAAUAAUAUCCGACAACAGCCUGAUCACAUGGAUUCCAAAGGAAAAUGUUGUGCAGAGUUUGUGGCUAGUAAUACUCAGAGGCAAACAAAUUCAGAGGAGGAAGUGUUGGGUGUUACCACCAUAGGGUUCCUUCAAGAUUAAUGUUGAUGCUACUUUUAAUCAGUUGUCUGGUGAUGCUAUAGUGGGGAUUGUGAUCCGAGAUUGACAGGGUCCUUAAAACUUACUGUCUGGCGCUUUUUAUCUUAUUGCAGGGAUGCUGAGGAGGCCGAGGAGAUAGGUUGAGAUGGCCAGAAACUCCGAUGAUCUUGGAAUCUGAUUGUCAAAUGGUGGUUGCCAAAUUUCACAGCAAGGGUUGUGAUCGUUCUGCCCUGUGGAAUGUCUUCAUGAUGAUGCAUGACACCGAUAGUCAGUUAUGCAAAUUAGAGGUUGUUAAGAUUAGUAGGGAUCAGAAUAAUUUGGCGCAUGAGUUGGCACGUUUUGCUUCUAGGUCUAGGUGGUGUCAGUGUUUUUUUGCUUAUUUUCUAGACUGGGUUGUGUCCCUCUCUUGUAAGGAUGUUACUUAAUUCUUAAUAAAGUUUGUUCUUUCGCAAAAAAAAGGAUUGGUUCGUUGAUCAGAUUUUAGGCCAUACUACAGUAUUGUGGCAUCUUAAUUAAUUAUUACCUAAGUACCCAUUAAUCUGAUAUGUCGUUGCUGUGAGGUUGCUGCUGCUGUCACUAGUUGAAUAUUUUAAUCUAAACUCUGUUUAGAGGGAGAUCACGAGUAUAUGUCCUAUUUACGUGUUGAAUUUGGCAAUUGACGUAUAUUGUUGCUACCUGGUUCCUUUGGUGACUUGCUCUUGUCUGUGAUUGGUCAGGCCAACGCUGAUGCACUAAACACUGCCGAUAGCAAAUAUAUUUGUUACCUGCUGAUUUCCUGAGCUGAGAGAAGAAAUUAUUUUCUGUUCGCUGAUUGAUAAAUUGAAAGAUUUCUAAUAUAUUUGCAUGUAUCAUGAAAGAUUGAUAAAUUGAAAGAUUUCUAAUAUAUUUGCAUGUAUCAUGAAAGAUUGAUAAACUAAAAGAUUUCUAAUAUAUUUGCAUGUAUCAUGAAAGAUUGAUAAACUAAAAGAUUUCUAAUAUAUUUGCAUGUAUCAUGAAAGAUGGCAAAAUUAUUUUAGGUAUAGUAGGCGUGUCUUCGUCAUGUCAUUUACAAACAGAAUGAUGUUCCAAAUUGAUUCGGCUUUAGUGGACUUCUCUAAUUGAGAGAUAAGAUGAUGAGCCAAUUGCCCUAUAGUUGUGUUGGUUGGAGCACAUACAAGAACUCUAGGUUUCUUAGCUCGUCAGAAGGAAAUACAGGAUUACUGAAAAAACUGUGAUUAUCGGUGUCGGGUGGGCUCUAAACCAAUCGUACGAACUAGAAGAGUGCUCAGUUGCUGAAAUAUAGCUUGCUAUUAUAUUACACUGGAUGAAUUAAGUCCAAACUGGACAGUGGCAGCCUCAAAAUUACUUGCUUUAUUUUCUACAUCAGGCUGCAACAUAUAUUAAAAAAAAACACUAUCAACGCAAAAAAAGCAAAACAAUAGAUAGAGAAAGAGAGAGAUGCCAAUACUACUUACAUCAUUAUUACUUUUAGUCAAUAUGAAAUUGAUUAUUCUAGACCUAUCUUUGAAACCUCUCACCAUUUGUUGCCAAAUACAUUCAUCAAUACUUAGAUUAGCUAGGUGCAUGAUCUGGUACAACCUUUCCUGACUCAUGCUGCACUCACGCGGCGAUUCUGAUACCAAGUCAUCCAUCCAUACUAUAUAACAAUCCUCAAAUUCACACACAUCCUAAUCAUUAACCCGCGUAACCACUAGGAUGGUGCAAAAGGAACUGUUGUUGAGGAUUUCAUCUAGACUCUCAUAAUAGCAUGAGAUUGUGCUUGACAAAUUCUUCCCCUUUGGUAGAGAAAGCUUGACACGGUAUUCAUUUGGCCAGCUUUGUUUGAGUGUAUGGGGUGAAGCUACAUAUGUACUUGUGGGCGCAUAUGACCCCUCAAAAUACAUAUUAAAUAAUAAAGUCUAAAAUUUUCUUAUAUAUGCACCUUCUAUGGCCGAAGUCUAUGCACUUACAAGAAAGCUGCACCCUCUUUAAUUUACUCUCACUUUGCACCAACACAGGCAUACAUCAAUAUUUGGUUUUGAACAAAAGUUGAUAUGACACAUACCAUAGGUACAGGAUCGCAAAAACAUUAUUCUUCCAACAAAAGUUAUGUUUCUUUUAUGUUUCUUUUACUCAACAGAGCCUCCGCCUCAGUAGUAGCUUUUAUUGCUCUAUUUCUCCUCCCCCUGCAUAUUAUUUUUUUGUCUCAAGAUGAUUGUAGCCUCUGCAAGAUACCAUCACACAUGUGAGAUGUAUGAAUUUAGAAUGCCAUGGCAUCCAAACCUAGUUGGUAAGGGAGGGGAUGACUUAGAGCUACGCCCUAACCCUACUCAGCACAUUCCCUAUGUUCACGUAGUGGUAAGCGCUUCACUUGGGACGGGUCAUUUUUUAUUAUAUUUUCCCAUAAAUGGUAAAGUAACAAAUAUAUGCCAUGUUGAAUAAAGAAAUUUAGAACAUUAAAAACUAGUUCCUCUGAACCAUAAAAAGAGUAUUCUUGCUUCCUAAGAAAUCAACUAUCUUUAACUUUGACCAAAUCUAUAUAACAAUAUUAUUACUUAUGGUACACAAUUAUUAUCAUUGGAUAGAUCUUUCAAUAUAUUUUCACAAUAAACUUGAUUUGGAUUGUUAAUAUUUUCUACAAAUCUAAUUAAACUCAACAAAAAUAACUAGUAUAAAUCCCAUAGCGACUCUUUUUAUGGAAUGGAGGGAGCAGUAGACCGAUAAAUUCGUGCGUCCUGAGUAACACUAAAGAAAUUCAGCACAUUCAAAACAAGGAAACGGCACUGCAUGUUCCAAGGGUUACAGUAAAAUUGCAGCAACAUACAUUCUACGCAUGUUCCAUCAAACCAUUUACCACUGCACUGCAACAACCAAAACUAUCCAACUGGAUGAUACAACAACAAAACCAGUUACAUAGUUGGGGAUUAAUUCCCCUCGAUGCCCACUGCCUCCACUGGUCCUUUGCCUAUCCAGUAUUUGUAGGCAGCAUAAACAGAGGAUACAACCAGGAUGCCGAGGAUCAUGUAGGUAACGAUAGUAGCCACGCUGAUUUGGCUAGGAGCCUUCUUCACUUUGCUUUGUGCCAGCAAGGCCUUUGGCUUAAUCUUUGCCAUGCUACGCUCCUGCCAAUCCCAAGAAAAAAAAAAGGUAGAAUAGUGUGAGCAAAGUGUGCAUAGGAUCAAAAGAAAAAGGUAGGAAGGAUUUUUGUUGGACCUUCGUCAAUCAAACAAUACUCCUACCGAAACGCAAAAUAUUGUUAGAAUGGCAAAAUAAUGGGGAUCAGAAGUUCAGGAUGCAAGCAUGGUAUGUGGCAUGAAGUGGAAAUGCUGGAAACUAUUGCAUCUGAACCAAAUCUCCAAAUGCUGGAAACUAUUCACAAAGUACAAUCUUGUCUGAAGCAAAUAGCAAUUCUGUGAUUCAAAAGAGCAGAUUAAUGAAUGCGAUCAAGCAGAAAAGCUUAAUAUUAUUAUAUUUGUUCAUGGACUACAAAGUUCAGCAAUUCAUGUUCAUAUGCAAACUAUAGGAUGUAUCAUUUACAGUUGAAACUUGAAAGACUUGGUGGACAGGGAAAAACAAGAUAUUCUCAUGGAGUUUUAGUAUUUUAGAUUAUGAAACCAGAAACAAUGAACCAGUGGCAAACCCACAGCCUGACCCUGAGCAGCCACCCGAUCUCGGCGGCGAAGCACAAAGAGAAAUUUUAUUUGACACAAUGGAGAACAUUGUAUUUUUCUUAAAUAUUUUUUGCAAAAUGAGAAUAGCCUGGGCUUCUAAAAGUUUCUGGAUCUGCCACUGCAAUGAGCCUACUUGGAAACUCCAUGGCACAACAUAAGUUCAGGUAAGAGUUACUUGUCUGAUCCAUGGAAUAAGGACAAGACUAAUAAAGAAUGACACAAAUAAAAAGGUUCAUGAGUUCAUUUCUCCAACUUCGCAUCCUGACUUAGCUUUGGCACUCCUCUAUCAAUUUACUGGCUUUAUACGCAGCAGCAGCAGCAGCCAGCAGGGUAGUCAAACAAGUCAUUACUUUACUUCCUGAAGGAGAAUAUAAUUGGUGGAAUAUUUGAUAUAUUGCAUUGGACCUCAUGGGCUGAUUAUAUAGGGUACAUAGGACUAACACCUUAUGUGGGUACACAAUAUGGUACUAUUUCUAUUUACUCUAACAUCCUCCCGCAGUCAUCACGGGAGCGCUGCAGACGGUAAGACUGGAGAAGAAGUUGAUAAGUAACAUCCCCCGUAGUCAUAACAGUCGAUGCGCCGCAUAAGCUGUGACUGGAGAAGAAGCCGAUGAGUCCUCAUGAAAGGCGGUAGCCCUUUGUGCCGAUGUCGAGGUAGCCGAGCAUAAGGGCACAAUAGCCGUGGUCGAAGAAGUCGUGCUGAAGAUUGCCGAGGUCGACUUAGUUGUGGUGGGGUUGCGUGUCGAUGGAGCUGCAGGCACACAAGGGGCGCCAUGGUAAUGACGGAGACGCGUCGAGGCAGUCGUCGUGGGAGGGGGCGAUGCCGAAGUCGACGCAGUCAGGACCGUCGUAGAAGAAAGGCGACGACACAAUCAAGGCAGACGGGGAGGAACGGGAGGGUCGAUGCCGAAGUCGAUGCAGUCAAGCCGCCUGAGCGCCGAGGCGCAGCUGGAUUUGCCAGAUCCAACAACGCGUCGAGGACGAAAGCACGCAUCGGUGUUGCCAAUACCAAGCAUACAAGGGAAAGAGCCCCAAUCGUGUGGUUGUGUUGGACGAAGAAGCAAUGCAGGAGAAGACGCAUUGGCGAGCAGGUCUCAGCGACGAUGCGGGUAGUGGCAGCUAGAUGACGAAGACCCAAUCAGCAGGACGAAGACCUUGUGCAGACGGAUGGCGCAACAAGGAUUGCGCAACACAAUUAUCGAUGCACAUAUGACGGCGAUGGAGAUGCAACGGCGAAGCGUACACACGGAGAGCGGUGCUGCGGCCCGAUGAGGCAACAUAACAGCAGCCCUGUUGCUCGGAGAAGAUGUGCGUAGUACUCAGAGAUGGUGUCGAUGAAGUCGAUGCCGAUGUCGGAGUAGAACGCACAAGGUCGACGGGCGGUAGGCGACUCAAUCUCGAUCAGUGAUCAGGCAAACCAAAAAGAUACAGCAGCAGGAGAUCGGGUGUACCCAGCAAGGCGACAUGAUGGCGGCGGUGCGUCCCGAUCGGGCGGCGCAAGGCGCACGGCGGGGUCGAAGGCGCCAAUGCGGAUUGACGAGGUGGAGAUGGGCAGAUCCUCCCGGCAACAGCAACACGCCAGAUCUAGCUGCCUCCAUGGCAGCGCAGGGUUGAGGUGUGUGGCCGGCCCUGGCCGCCACCACGACGGCACGAGACAGGGCGAGAUCCAUCUGCCUCCAUGCAAUGAAGAUCAAGUGUUGAUGGCGACAGCCGGCAGCGAGCCCGGGACGAGGCGGCGGCGGCAACCUGGCGAUGACGUAGGGGAGAUCCCGAUCUACUGUGCGACGACGACGAUGGUAGCCGGAUCAAUAGGAUCGGGCGCCUAAAGAGGGGCGCUGCCCCCGGCGGAGAUCGACCUCUCCCCGGGGGCGCACAGUCGGGAAGCGGCGGCGGCUAGGGUUAGAAUCUAAACCUAGGCGAAUGAUACCAUGAAGGAGAAUAUAAUGGGUGGAAUAUUUGAUAUAUUGCAUCGGGCCUCAUGGGCUGAUUAUAUAGGGUACAUAAGACUAACACCUUAUGUGGGUACACAAUAUGGUACUAUUCCUAUUUACUCUAACACUUCCAUCUCCCUCCGAGAAUCUCUUACUGUUUCUUAAAAUAUGGGCAAGGUGUGUUCAUGUUUUGUUGCAUUUAUAUGAUUAUUACUGAAAUAGAAAUUAACCAUAUGAAUAUGAUCUAGGCAUGUUUGAAAUAUUGACAGGAGAAAAGAAGAUACUAUCAUGGAAGUAUAUGAUUACUGAACCAAAACAAUGAACAUACAUGGAAAACUCCAUGGCAGAACAAAAGUUCCAGGUCAAUGUUGUAUGACAUGGCAUAAGGGGCACUUCAAUAGGGAUAGACAAAUAGAAAAAGGUUCAUGAAUCCAUUUCUACAGCUUUGCAGCCUGACUUGACUUCUGCACACGCCUCUAUCAAUUUACUGGCUUGAUAGGAAGCAAAAACUGGCUAAUAAAACAAGUCACUCCUCUCUUUCACCCUCCAAGAAUCUCUCUUAGACUCUUACUACUUAUAAAAGUUAAAAAUAUGACCAGGACAUGUUCAUACUUUGCUUUAGCGUUGGUAAUCUGAAAUCUGAACUAAUAUUGAAGUAGAGUAGGAAAGAUAUACAGGAAAUCAAAAUGAUUAAGAAAAGAUAAUUCAAUUAGCAAACAGAAAGUUGAAUAAAUUUGAGCACUAGUAUUUACAAUAGUAUCGUAUUUUCUUUUUGCUGUGUAUAUGAAAACGCUAGGUACACCGUACACCAAGCACAAGAAAAAACUAGUUUUUGUUUACAUCAUUAAUAAUGUCCUAAACUAGCAUAAAUAUUCACUAGCCACCUCAGAGUAGGCCUUGCCAUCCUUUCUCCUCAAUUCUUGAAGAACUUUUUUUAUGAUUGGUGGUGCAGAGCUAGCUAGACUGUGAGUGGCCCCACCGAAUAAGGUUUAAAUUCCCUAAUCAUUUUAGGUGCAUGGACUCUCUGGAAACACAGGAAUGACUAGUUUUUAAUGAAGUUACACCAAGGCUCUCCAGAGCACUAUACCUUGCUGGUGAGGAGUACCAGCUCUGGAGUAUGGUAGGCGCUAUGGGGCUGUUUUAUCACAGCCCUAGCCUAGAUAACUAGGUUCUACGUCUGAUCGCCCCUUUUUCAAUUUUUAGAGGCAUGUAUGUAAUCCCUUUAUUUCCCUCUUAGUGAAAUAUGGUCGUGAAAAAAUAUGUAAUCCUUUUAUCUGAGGGUCUGUGUGUUGUAACUCUGUUCUUCUAGUAAUACAAUGAUGCACAGCCUCUCCUGGGUGUUCAAGAAAAAAAAGCACCUUACAAGCUGAUAUUGAUCAUACAAAAAAUUGGAGGACACACUUCGAUUCGACAUAUAGAUCACCUGCUAACUUACUACAGAAGGUCUGUACCCAUAAUUAAGAAAAUCAUAGUGCCUAGUGCCAUUUUGUGAAGGACAACAAAUGGGCUAAGAUUACCUUGUUGUAGACUCAUAUAAAUGACUCUUGACUCAUCAAGCAUGGAUCUGUAGACUCAUAAGGCAUGGGAUCCAACGAACACCCACGGUUUCUUUUUUGGAAAAAGUUUGAUAUCCAGCAGGGGCGGACCCAGUAAGGCUGCGUUUGAUUACCUCGAUUGGAACCAGGAACUAUUCCAGCUUUCCAAAACUAUACAGAUCAGUGAACAAAUUCCAACUGGAAUCAUUCCAGUGACUCAAUCCAGAGCAACCGAACAAGCCUUACAGGACAUGGGUGUACACAUAACACAUGUACCCCCAAUAAUUUUGCAAAGAAACUGAAGCUAGUAGGCAUAACACAUGAAUACACUUGGAAUUAGAUCAGAUCCAAAUAGGUUUCGGGAACCCUGUUUCGCACAGAAGGAAGGGAACGAGGGAAGAGAAGGGGCGCGCAUACUUAGUGGUUGCUCGUCGCCGGCGAAGGGCUGUUGAAGGGACCGACGAAAGCCUGGGCACCUGGCCUAGGGCGGCGGCGACGGUCGCCAAGUUGUCCCCACGAGAGAGAGGACGCGCUGGCGGGGUGUUGAACGGGAGAAGAGAAAGCAGGGGUCAAGGCUGGAGCAAAGUUGGGAUUUUUCAAACCGAAUUUUCCUGUCCAGACAGAUCUCUG